Molecule: transfer RNA, 90 nt
Filed under: Streptomyces mutabilis
Lineage: Bacteria; Bacillati; Actinomycetota; Actinomycetes; Kitasatosporales; Streptomycetaceae
Description: tRNA-Trp
Source: RNAcentral
GCGGCCCCCGGCCCGGCGGGCGGUGAGUUCCAGGCGGGCCAGCAGGUCGACGACGGCGAUCCCCGGCGGUCCCAGCCCGCCGACGUCGCA